GGUGGCUCAGUGGUAGAGCGCUUGCCUUGCAUGCCUAAGGCUCUGGGUUAGAUUUCCCAGCACCA
Molecule: transfer RNA, 65 nt
Filed under: Dipodomys ordii (Ord's kangaroo rat)
Lineage: Eukaryota; Metazoa; Chordata; Mammalia; Rodentia; Heteromyidae
Rfam family: tRNA
About the family: Transfer RNA (tRNA) molecules are approximately 80 nucleotides in length. Their secondary structure includes four short double-helical elements and three loops (D, anti-codon, and T loops).
Source: Rfam by way of RNAcentral